RNAcentral lists this ribosomal RNA (301 nucleotides) under uncultured bacterium. Its description in RNAcentral is "partial 16S ribosomal RNA". It matches the Rfam family "Bacterial small subunit ribosomal RNA", at positions 509 to 809 of the family's 1533-position model. The record is from RNAcentral.
CAGCCGCCGCGGGAAUACCGAGGAUGCAAGCGUUAUCCGGAAUGAUUGGGUGUAAAGCGUCUGUAGGUGGCUUUUCAAGUCCGCCAUCAAAUCCCUGGGCUCAACCCUGGACAGGCAGUGGAAACUACCAAGCUGGAGUACGGUAGUGGCAGAGGGAAUUUCCGGUGGAGAGGUGAAAUGCGUUGAGAUUGGAAAGAACACCAACGGUGAAAGCGCUCUGCUGGGCCGACACUGACACUGAGAGACGAAAUCUAGGGGAGCAAAUGGGAUUAGAUACCCCUGUAGUCCCUGUCUCUUAUAA